RNAcentral lists this ribosomal RNA (253 nucleotides) under uncultured bacterium. RNAcentral describes it as "partial 16S ribosomal RNA". It matches the Rfam family "Bacterial small subunit ribosomal RNA", at positions 524 to 776 of the family's 1533-position model. The record is from RNAcentral.
UACGGAGGGGGCGAGUGUUAUUCAUAGUGAUUGGGCGUAAAGGGUGCGUAGGCGGCGCGGUAAGUCGGGUGUGAAAUCUCGGAGCUUAACUCCGAAACUGCAUUCGAUACUGCCGUGCUUGAGGACUGGAGAGGAGACUGGAAUUUACGGUGUAGCGGUGAAAUGCGUAGAUAUCGUAAGGAAGACCAGUGGCGAAGGCGGGUCUCUGGACAGUUCCUGACGCUGAGGCACGAAGGUCAGGGGAGCAAACGGG